GGGCUAAUACCGGAUAAUAAGAGAAGAAGCAUUUCUUCUUUUUGAAAGUCGGUUUCGGCUGACACUUACAGAUGAGCCCGCGGCGCAUUAGCUAGUUGGUGAGGUAACGGCUCACCAAGGCGACGAUGCGUAGCCGACCUGAGAGGGUGAUCGGCCACACUGGGACUGAGACACGGCCCAGACUCCUACGGGAGGCAGCAGUAGGGAAUCUUCGGCAAUGGGCGAAAGCCUGACCGAGCAACGCCGCGUGAGCGAUGAAGGCCUUCGGGUCGUAAAGCUCUGUUGUUAGAGAAGAACAAGUACGAGAGUAACUGCUCGUACCUUGACGGUACCUAACCAGAAAGCCACGGCUAACUACGUGCCAGCAGCCGCGGUAAUACGUAGGUGGCAAGCGUUAUCCGGAAUUAUUGGGCGUAAAGCGCGCGCAGGCGGUCUCUUAAGUCUGAUGUGAAAGCCCACGGCUCAACCGUGGAGGGUCAUUGGAAACUGGGAGACUUGAGUGCAGGAGAGAAAAGUGGAAUUCCACGUGUAGCGGUGAAAUGCGUAGAGAUGUGGAGGAACACCAGUGGCGAAGGCGGCUUUUUGGCCUGUAACUGACGCUGAGGCGCGAAAGCGUGGGGAGCAAACAGGAUUAGAUACCCUGGUAGUCCACGCCGUAAACGAUGAGUGCUAGGUGUUGGGGGGUUCCACCCUCAGUGCUGAAGUUAACACAUUAAGCACUCCGCCUGGGGAGUACGACCGCAAGGUUGAAACUCAAAGGAAUUGACGGGGGCC
RNAcentral lists this ribosomal RNA (774 nucleotides) under Fictibacillus sp. L7-38. Its description in RNAcentral is "bacterial SSU rRNA". It matches the Rfam family "Bacterial small subunit ribosomal RNA", at positions 160 to 921 of the family's 1533-position model. Lineage: Bacteria; Bacillati; Bacillota; Bacilli; Caryophanales; Fictibacillaceae. The record is from RNAcentral.